CUCAGCGCACCGGGCAGGGGUCUUUGGGGCCGGGGGGGGGGAUCCUGCCCCGCUGCGCUCCCUGCCCGGUGCUCUCCCCGCAGCGUGCCUGCCCGCUGACACGCAGCGCUCCGAUUCCGCGGCGGCGAGCGCGUGCUGGAAUUGCUAAGAAUAGAAAAUGUUGUCAAAUAUUUCAGCUUCGGAGGAGCCCCUGGCUGUUUGUGCUCUGCUCCCGGAGCGACGCGGCGUGCUUUGAAUUUCACAGCUUCGCGGGGCUGCGGAGCCCUCCGCCUCAACUUCCCUUUCAAACUCAUCCAGGAAGCUAAAAAGAGACAGUAAAAUGUGAAGUUGGGAAACGCACACGGAGGCAGAGCACACCCGUGAGACGGGCUGCAGGAGCAGGGAGCACAGCGGGGUCUGGGGGCACCGAGGGGCUGCACGGGUGGCUCAAGGAGCUGCGAGCAACCUGCCUGCAAGCAAGGAAAGCUCUCGAGAGGAGGCUGCUGUGGCCGUGCCCCGUGGCUGCCCGCUGCCAUCGCCCAUCCUGUGCCGUGCCCCCGGGGGCAGUGCUGGUGCUGGUGCUGGCCCCAGGGCUCAGCAGGGAGCUGCCCUGCCGGGCUCUGCGCAGAGCAUCCUCCUGGCCUGGUAAUUAGCGCAUCUGAAGGAUCAGUCCGCUUCUCAAAAGGGGAAAAGAGGAUGCAGGAAAUUACCAGCCAGCUCGGCUGAAUCGCCGCAGAAGGGCAUUGCUGCAAUCGAUGGAGGAGCAGCGAGAAGCUACUGAAAGGGAAGGAGCUCCGUUAGCUCCUUGCUGUCAGCACCAAACUUUGAGGUGCGCAGCAGCGGCACAGGGAGAGAACCUGGGGAGAAGCAGGCGGCUGCUGGGGCAGCGUUAAGGGUGGGCUGCGAGGCCGAGGGGCCCGUCCUAGCAGUGGGGUCACCCUCCUGCCUUCCUGGAGGCACGGGGCAGCGCCCCAGCACCCUACAAACCAGGGUGCCAGCUGCACCCACCAGCUGCGAGCCAGGCGCUUCUCACAGCAGCUGGGUGUCCCUGCCCUGCACGCGGAGCUGCCUCGGGGCCGGCCCCAUCCCCAUGGCAGAGCAGAGCACAGCUAAGUUUAGCCCAGCCGCGCACGGGAAGCGGCGUUAUCUCAUCCCACCUCCUUGUCCUCAGCUGUGCGCACGCUAAUCUCCGCCUGGCACCUUGAGCUCGGAGCUGCCCUGCGCUGCAAGCGCCCUUUUAUUUUUAUUUUGGUCAUCUCCGUCACAACUUCUUCCCACUGAGCAGCCGCUGUCAUCCGUUGUGCGCCUGGCACCGGGACGGAAGCGCUGCUCCUCCCGCUGCUCGCCGCGGGGACGUGUGGCUGGCUGAUGGCUUCUCCCCUAUCUUUGGGCACAAGCAAAGCGCCUGCAGAUGCCCCACACGCAGGGCUGCCCCUCACGACACACGAGGUGCAUACCGGGGGCAGCCACGGGCACGGUGCCAGCGGUGCCACAGCUCCGGUGCCGAGCAGUGCGAGCCACCCGCGCUUAACAUCAGGUCUGGUGUCAUUCCUCGGUUCUGUGCACAGAUGGGAUGCACACAGAGCCAAAAUUAUUCGUCUCCUACAGCUCGGAGACCUUCUGGGGUGCACGCCGACCCCUGGCAGACCAUGUGGGUUUUCACCACCCUGCCUGCCCUGACCUCUGCGCUGCACCCGUCGCAAAAGCUGCUUCCAGCUUCGUGCCGGAUUGGAGAGCUCCAGGAGAGGCAGCGCGCAGCAGCUCCUCAGCAGCGUGCUCCUGCGGUUAAUCACCAGUGACCAUUUUUAGUAAUAAUUCCCGAGGGGCCGAGGGCCGCGCGGAAACAUCCGCUCCUGCCUCGCUCCCCUUCCCACCAUCUGCCCCGGCUCCUCGGGCGCGGCAGGUCCAGGAAAAAAAAACAGCCCCUGAAUUAGAGCAGCCGAGCCGGCGAGGAAAUCCGAGCGCUAAUCCCCGAGCUCUCGCUGGCGCACGGCAGAGCUCCGGCGAGCCUUCCUCCGCCCCGGCCGCAGCUGGAGGCCCUGGGUGACGCCGUGGGUGACGCCGUGGGUGACGCCGUGUCACCUUCCCGCAGGGCUGCGGCGAGUGGCUGGAUGCAGAGGUGCAGGGCAGGGAGCGGCGGAGCCGCGGUGCCCACAGCGAGCGGUGGCCCCGGCAGCCGGGCAGGGCUCCAGCCCUGCGCGUGCCUCCACACCCGCGCUGCCCCGGCUUGUUUGCUCUUCGCUGUUUGCUUUUGCAGGACCUGCGUGCGCGGGGGUGCGGAGCCUGGGGGGGGUUAAACUGGUUUGUGAGGGAUGGAUUUUCUCAAAGUCAUCGAUGGCGGUGCGGUCGCCCGCCCUGCUGGGCUGGGGCGAGCACCCGGCACGUCUGAGCACGAGGCUCUGCCCCAGGGCUCCAACAGCUGCCUGGGCCCUGCCGCAUGGACUGCCUGGGUGUCCUGCAGCGCCCGCGGAGCUGUGCCCAUGCCAGGAGGGCUCAUGUGUGGCCAGGAGGCUGCAGCUGCUGCGUGCCAGGGGCUGGGUGCGGGGAGGCCGCGGCUGCCAGCCCUGCGAGCACGGGCAGAGGCCGAGCCUCGGAGCGCUGCCAUGUGCAGGGGAUGCGCCGCGUGGUGCCAACCCGAUGUCUCGUUCCUAAAACCCUGCAGCACGCUCUUCAUCGCCCUGCUGCUGCCACUCGGUCAGAGGAAAGCUCACCCCCCAAGCCCCUGCUCAAUAAUUAAUCGUAAGCCAUUUGGGAUUAAAGACGUACCUGUCCCUGCAGAAAUGCAGCACGAAGCACGGGGGUGCCGCAGCCUCACCUCCUGCAGCUCCUCCUGCACUUUGGAGACCUGCACACGUGGAGGGAAGGAGCAGCGCCGCGGUGAGAGGGGGCAGAUUCAAAUUCAAUGCAAAGCAGCGUGGAGGAAGUUGUUCCUGGUGCUGCUCCAAGCCUGAAACAGCGUCAAAAAGUCACCAGAAAAAGCCAGCCCUGCUCCUCGCUGCAAGGAACGCGCCCAGAGCUCAGCAAACUGCUGAGUUCCUGCAGGUGUUUCGUUUUUAAAUCCCCACUCCCAGGGGCCACGGGUGCCACCCCAUGGGUGCUGGGGGCUUUUUGCAGCCUCAGCUCCUCCCGCAGUGACACAGCCCCGUGCUGGCCGCUCCCGGGCGCACGUCCCUGCGGUUUGGUGGGCGGGGGGGGGUCACGGCAUCAGCCCCCCGGGGCACAGCCCUUGGUGUAAGGAAUGGGUAUUUUUAAAAUCUGUUAGACCCAAAGCGUGAAACCUUAGCUGACUCAUACGAAUAUGAAACUCUCUUACGGGAUGAAUUAAAGCUAUUAAAACAGAGGUAAUUACUCAUGCGAA
Anas platyrhynchos (mallard) is the source of this 3337-nucleotide non-coding RNA. The record is from RefSeq and is a predicted model, not a curated record. NCBI's taxonomy places the organism in Eukaryota, Metazoa, Chordata, Aves, Anseriformes, Anatidae.